This is a long non-coding RNA of Amblyraja radiata (thorny skate), 123 nucleotides long. RefSeq lists it as uncharacterized. The transcript is spliced from 3 exons. The record is from RefSeq and is a predicted model, not a curated record. NCBI's taxonomy places the organism in Eukaryota, Metazoa, Chordata, Chondrichthyes, Rajiformes, Rajidae.
UCAGAUUACUAAAGUUCCCACGAUAGUUCUCACGAGACACUAAGGUAAACUCACAGGCCACUACGUUCUUAUAACGAGUUUAAAUGUCUCAAUUUUUAACUUCAGCAGUACAUUUUACUCGUG